RNAcentral lists this ribosomal RNA (1111 nucleotides) under Shigella flexneri. Its description in RNAcentral is "partial 23S ribosomal RNA". It matches the Rfam family "Bacterial large subunit ribosomal RNA", at positions 1 to 1143 of the family's 2925-position model. The record is from RNAcentral. Lineage: Bacteria; Pseudomonadati; Pseudomonadota; Gammaproteobacteria; Enterobacterales; Enterobacteriaceae.
GGGUUGUGAGGUUAAGCGACUAAGCGUACACGGUGGAUGCCCUGGCAGUCAGAGGCGAUGAAGGACGUGCUAAUCUGCGAUAAGCGUCGGUAAGGUGAUAUGAACCGUUAUAACCGGCGAUUUCCGAAUGGGGAAACCCAGUGUGAUUCGUCACACUAUCAUUAACUGAAUCCAUAGGUUAAUGAGGCGAACCGGGGGAACUGAAACAUCUAAGUACCCCGAGGAAAAGAAAUCAACCGAGAUUCCCCCAGUAGCGGCGAGCGAACGGGGAGCAGCCCAGAGCCUGAAUCAGUGUGUGUGUUAGUGGAAGCGUCUGGAAAGGCGUGCGAUACAGGGUGACAGCCCCGUACACAAAAAUGCACAUACUGUGAGCUCGAUGAGUAGGGCGGGACACGUGGUAUCCUGUCUGAAUAUGGGGGGACCAUCCUCCAAGGCUAAAUACUCCUGACUGACCGAUAGUGAACCAGUACCGUGAGGGAAAGGCGAAAAGAACCCCGGCGAGGGGAGUGAAAAAGAACCUGAAACCGUGUACGUACAAGCAGUGGGAGCACGCUUAGGCGUGUGACUGCGUACCUUUUGUAUAAUGGGUCAGCGACUUAUAUUCUGUAGCAAGGUUAACCGAAUAGGGGAGCCGAAGGGAAACCGAGUCUUAACUGGGCGUUAAGUUGCAGGGUAUAGACCCGAAACCCGGUGAUCUAGCCAUGGGCAGGUUGAAGGUUGGGUAACACUAACUGGAGGACCGAACCGACUAAUGUUGAAAAAUUAGCGGAUGACUUGUGGCUGGGGGUGAAAGGCCAAUCAAACCGGGAGAUAGCUGGUUCUCCCCGAAAGCUAUUUAGGUAGCGCCUCGUGAAUUCAUCUCCGGGGGUAGAGCACUGUUUCGGCAAGGGGGUCAUCCCGACUUACCAACCCGAUGCAAACUGCGAAUACCGGAGAAUGUUAUUACGGGAGACACACGGCGGGUGCUAACGUCCGUCGUGAAGAGGGAAACAACCCAGACCGCCAGCUAAGGUCCCAAAGUCAUGGUUAAGUGGGAAACGAUGUGGGAAGGCCCAGACAGCCAGGAUGUUGGCUUAGAAGCAGCCAUCAUUUAAAGAAAGCGUAAUAGCUC